This 182-nucleotide microRNA precursor is filed under the name Oryza sativa Indica Group (long-grained rice). RNAcentral's name for it is "MIR812 microRNA precursor family". It matches the Rfam family "MIR812 microRNA precursor family". The record is from Rfam by way of RNAcentral. Lineage: Eukaryota; Viridiplantae; Streptophyta; Magnoliopsida; Poales; Poaceae.
AAAAAGACAAACCCUGAGUUUCCGUGUCUAACGUUUAACUGUCCGUCUUAUAUGAAUUUUUUUAUAAUUAGUAUUUUCAUUGUUAUUAGAUGAUAAAACAUAAUUAAUACUUUAUGACUUGUCUUUUUAAUUUUUUUAAAAUAAGACGGACGAUCAAACGUUAGACACGAAAAUCUAGAGUU